Caerostris darwini is the source of this 72-nucleotide non-coding RNA. Lineage: Eukaryota; Metazoa; Arthropoda; Arachnida; Araneae; Araneidae. The record is from the annotation of a GenBank genome assembly.
UCCCGAGUGGUCUAGAUCUUAGGAUUCCUGGUUUACACCCACGCGGCCCGGGUUAGAUUCCCGGCAUGGGAA